Molecule: ribosomal RNA, 691 nt
Filed under: Glutamicibacter halophytocola
Lineage: Bacteria; Bacillati; Actinomycetota; Actinomycetes; Micrococcales; Micrococcaceae
Description: bacterial SSU rRNA
Rfam family: Bacterial small subunit ribosomal RNA
Source: RNAcentral
UGCAGUCGAACGAUGAAGCCCUGCUUGCAGGGUGGAUUAGUGGCGAACGGGUGAGUAACACGUGAGUAACCUGCCCCUGACUCUGGGAUAAGCCCGGGAAACUGGGUCUAAUACCGGAUAUGACUUCCUACUGCAUGGUGGGUUGUUGAAAGAUUUAUCGGUGGGGGAUGGACUCGCGGCCUAUCAGCUUGUUGGUGAGGUAAUGGCUCACCAAGGCGACGACGGGUAGCCGGCCUGAGAGGGUGACCGGCCACACUGGGACUGAGACACGGCCCAGACUCCUACGGGAGGCAGCAGUGGGGAAUAUUGCACAAUGGGCGGAAGCCUGAUGCAGCGACGCCGCGUGAGGGAUGACGGCCUUCGGGUUGUAAACCUCUUUCAGUAGGGAAGAAGCGAAAGUGACGGUACCUGCAGAAGAAGCGCCGGCUAACUACGUGCCAGCAGCCGCGGUAAUACGUAGGGCGCAAGCGUUAUCCGGAUUUAUUGGGCGUAAAGAGCUCGUAGGCGGUUUGUCGCGUCUGCCGUGAAAGUCCGAGGCUCAACCUCGGAUCUGCGGUGGGUACGGGCAGACUAGAGUGAUGUAGGGGAGACUGGAAUUCCUGGUGUAGCGGUGAAAUGCGCAGAUAUCAGGAGGAACACCGAUGGCGAAGGCAGGUCUCUGGGCAUUUACUGACGCUGAGGAGCGAAAGCA